AGCAGCAAGUUUUUUAUUACACAGAAAGACACUUUAGUAGGUAAAUAUAGGUCUAAUCUAUACAUUACCGAUCUAUUGACUUUUCGAUGUUUGAUAAAGAUUAUCAAAUGGACAAUUAAAUACCGAGCUACCGGCUAUCACUAGUCGAAUGGGAGUUAUGGAUGAAAACAAUGAAAAAAUAUCUUUCCAUCGAUUUCCAGAGCUAAAUAAAAAAUGGGUAUAAAACAUGAGACGAGUAGAUUGGACGCCGUCGAACUUUGCUAGAUUGUGUUCACUGCAUUUCGAACUCUAGAAGAAUUGUGCAAUCUUACGCUUACGUUU
Long non-coding RNA from Colias croceus (clouded yellow), 321 nucleotides. RefSeq lists it as uncharacterized. The record is from RefSeq and is a predicted model, not a curated record. NCBI's taxonomy places the organism in Eukaryota, Metazoa, Arthropoda, Insecta, Lepidoptera, Pieridae. The transcript is spliced from 3 exons.